GUACGUGAAAAUGGAGUAAAUACGAAAUACCCAUUCUUUCCUUUUAAUUACUCUUCGUUCUCUCUCUAAGUAUUUUGGCCUUUUGGAGGGUGAGGGUCCUUGAUCUGUAUACCAUGGCCGCCACCAUUGGACUUCCGAGAGAGAGAGAGGUGGACUCCAGGGUCAUGGAGGGUGGAGGAACAAUUGUACAGAUUCGAUCGCGUGACACCCUGAACGUUGCUGUUCAUUAUUGCAUUCAUUGGCGUUGAAGAAACUGCCCUUGUUUUUCUGAUUUUUGCUGCUUUCGCUUCCCAUUUUCUCACCAUCGCUC
This 310-nucleotide long non-coding RNA is filed under the name Actinidia chinensis (golden kiwifruit). Its description in RNAcentral is "long non-coding RNA (ACHI_LNC001656)". The record is from RNAcentral. Lineage: Eukaryota; Viridiplantae; Streptophyta; Magnoliopsida; Ericales; Actinidiaceae.